Molecule: ribosomal RNA, 548 nt
Filed under: Salmonella enterica
Lineage: Bacteria; Pseudomonadati; Pseudomonadota; Gammaproteobacteria; Enterobacterales; Enterobacteriaceae
Also listed under: 1 other name
Description: partial 23S ribosomal RNA
Source: RNAcentral
GGUUAAGCGACUAAGCGUACACGGUGGAUGCCCUGGCAGUCAGAGGCGAUGAAGGGCGUGCUAAUCUGCGAUAAGCGCCGGUAAGGUGAUAUGAACCGUUAUAACCGGCGAUACCCGAAUGGGGAAACCCAGUGUGAYUCGUCACACUAUCAUUAACUGAAUCCAUAGGUUAAUGAGGCGAACCGGGGGAACUGAAACAUCUAAGUACCCCGAGGAAAAGAAAUCAACCGAGAUUCCCCCAGUAGCGGCGAGCGAACGGGGAGGAGCCCAGAGCCUGAAUCAGCAUGUGUGUUAGUGGAAGCGUCUGGAAAGGCGCGCGAUACAGGGUGACAGCCCCGUACACAAAAGCGCAUGUGCUGUGAGCUCGAUGAGUAGGGCGGGACACGUGGUAUCCUGUCUGAAUAUGGGGGGACCAUCCUCCAAGGCUAAAUACUCCUGACUGACCGAUAGUGAACCAGUACCGUGAGGGAAAGGCGAAAAGAACCCCGGCGAGGGGAGUGAAAAAGAACCUGAAACCGUGUACGUACAAGCAGUGGGAGCCCCACCAC